This 1313-nucleotide ribosomal RNA is filed under the name metagenome. RNAcentral describes it as "bacterial LSU rRNA". It matches the Rfam family "Bacterial large subunit ribosomal RNA", at positions 1563 to 2925 of the family's 2925-position model. The record is from RNAcentral.
GGAUUGGGAGGGUUCUACGGAACCCGUUUGGUGAAUCUAGUGCCGAGAAAAGCCUUCUAUGUGUUGAAUUUCUAGUACCCGUACCCUAAACCGACACAGGUGGGUGGGUAGAGCAUACCUAGGGGCGCGUGAUAACUCUCUCUAAGGAACUCGGCAAAAUGGCCCUGUAACUUCGGGAUAAGGGGUGCCUGCGUGAGCAGGCCGCAGUGAAAUGGCUCUGGCGACUGUUUACCAAAAACACAGGUCUCUGCUAAGUCGUAAGACGAUGUAUAGGGGCUGACUCCUGCCCAGUGCCGGAAGGUUAAGGAAGUUGGUUAGCGCAAGCGAAGCUGGCGACUGAAGCCCCGGUGAACGGCGGCCGUAACAAUAACGGUCCUAAGGUAGCGAAAUUCCUUGUCGGGUAAGUUCCGACCCGCACGAAAGGAGUAACGAUCAGAGCGCUGUCUCGGAGAGAGACACGGCGAAAUAGGAUUGUCCGUGAAGAUACGGACUACCUGCACCCGGACAGAAAGACCCUAUGAAGCUUUACUGUAACUUGGAGUUGUGUUCGGACUUUGUCUGCGCAGAAUAGGUGGGAGGCUAUGAAACGUUCCUCGCGGGGAACUGGAGCCAUCGUUGAGAUACCACUCUGGCAGAGUCUGGAUUCUAACCUACGGGGGCAGUUCCAGGUGGGCAGUUUGACUGGGGCGGUCGCCUCCUAAAAUGUAACGGAGGCGCGCAAAGGUUCCCUCAGGCUGGUUGGAAAUCAGCCAUAGAGUGUAAAAGCAUAAGGGAGCUUGACUGCGAGACCUACAAGUCGAGCAGGGACGAAAGUCGGCUUUAGUGAUCCGACGGCACUGAGUGGAAGGGCCGUCGCUCAACGGAUAAAAGUUACUCUAAGGAUAACAGGCUGAUCUCCCCCAAGAGUUCACAUCGACGGGGAGGUUUGGCACCUCGAUGUCGGCUCGUCGCAACCUGGGGCGGUAGUACGUCCCAAGGGUUGGGCUGUUCGCCCAUUAAAGCGGCACGUGAGCUGGGUUCAGAACGUCGUGAGACAGUUCGGUCCAUAUCCGGUGUAGGCGUAGGAGCAUUGAAAGGAUCUCUCCUUAGUACGAGAGGACCGGGAGGGACGUACCUCUGGUGUACCUGUUAUCGUGCCAACGGUAAACGCAGGGUAGCCAUGUACGGAGUGGAUAACCGCUGAAAGCAUCUAAGUGGGAAGCCCACCUUAAGAUGAGUGCUCCCUUGAGGCCACGGGAAGACGACCCGUUUGAUAGGCGCUAGGUGGAAGUGCAGUAAUGCAUGCAGCCGAGGCGUACUAAUAGGCCGAUGGC